AUUACAGAGUUGCAAAACUCCCUAAACCAUUGUGAACGUUACCUAAACCGUUGCUUCGGCGGGCGGCCCCGGGGUUUACCCCCCGGGCGCCCCUGGGCCCCACCGCGGGCGCCCGCCGGAGGUCACCAAACUCUUGUUAAUUUAUGGCCUCUCUGAGUCUUCUGUACUGAAUAAGUCAAAACUUUCAACAACGGAUCUCUUGGUUCUGGCAUCGAUGAAGAACGCAGCGAAAUGCGAUAAGUAAUGUGAAUUGCAGAAUUCAGUGAAUCAUCGAAUCUUUGAACGCACAUUGCGCCCGCCAGUAUUCUGGCGGGCAUGCCUGUUCGAGCGUCAUUUCAACCAUCAAGCCCCCGGGCUUGUGUUGGGGACCUGCGGCUGCCGCAGGCCCUGAAAAGCAGUGGCGGGCUCGCUGUCACACCGAGCGUAGUAGCAUACAUCUCGCUCUGGGCGUGCUGCGGGUUCCGGCCGUUAAACCACCUUUUAACCCAAGGUUGACCUCGGAUCAGGUAGGAAGACCCGCUGAACUUAAGCAUAUCAAUAAGCGGAGGAAAAGAAACCAACAGGGAUUGCCCUAGUAACGGCGAGUGAAGCGGCAACAGCUCAAAUUUGAAAUCUGGCUUCGGCCCGAGUUGUAAUUUGCAGAGGAAGCUUUAGGCGCGGCACCUUCUGAGUCCCCUGGAACGGGGCGCCAUAGAGGGUGAGAGCCCCGUAUAGUUGGAUGCCUAGCCUGUGUAAAGCUCCUUCGACGAGUCGAGUAGUUUGGGAAUGCUGCUCAAAAUGGGAGGUAAAUUUCUUCUAAAGCUAAAUACCGGCCAGAGACCGAUAGCGCACAAGUAGAGUGAUCGAAAGAUGAAAAGCACUUUGAAAAGAGGGUUAAAUAGCACGUGAAAUUGUUGAAAGGGAAGCGCUUGUGACCAGACUUGCGCCGGGCAGAUCAUCCGGU
Molecule: ribosomal RNA, 943 nt
Filed under: Chaetomium elatum
Lineage: Eukaryota; Fungi; Ascomycota; Sordariomycetes; Sordariales; Chaetomiaceae
Also listed under: 1 other name
Description: eukaryotic LSU rRNA
Rfam family: Eukaryotic large subunit ribosomal RNA (bases 493-943)
Source: RNAcentral